This 465-nucleotide ribosomal RNA is filed under the name uncultured bacterium. Its description in RNAcentral is "partial 16S ribosomal RNA". It matches the Rfam family "Bacterial small subunit ribosomal RNA", at positions 28 to 507 of the family's 1533-position model. The record is from RNAcentral.
GAUGAACGCUGGCGGCGUGCUUAACACAUGCAAGUCGAACGGAAAGGCCCAAGCUUGCUGGGGUGCUCGAGUGGCGAACGGGUGAGUAACACGUGGGUGAUCUGCCCUGGACUUCGGGAUAACUCUGGGAAACUGGGGCUAAUACCGGAUAGGACCACAUGCUGGAUGGUGGGGGGGAGAGUUUUUCGGUGGGGGAUGAGCUCGCGGCCUAUCAGCUGGUUGGUGGGGGAAUGGCUUACUAAGAGGUCUACGGGGAGCGGGCCGGGGAGGAGGACCGGCGACAUUGGGCUGGGGUUCCGGCCCGACUCCUUACGGGAGGAGGCAGUGGGGAAUAUUGAACAUUGGGGGGAGGCUGAAUGCAGCAACGCGGGGGGGGGGUGACCGGCUUUGGGUUGGUAACCCCCUUCCCCAGGGGCGGAGCGUUGUGUGACGGUACUUGGUGAAGAAGCACCGGCUAACUACGUG